RNAcentral lists this non-coding RNA (81 nucleotides) under Actinobacillus succinogenes 130Z. Its description in RNAcentral is "Aggregatibacter sRNA 69". It matches the Rfam family "Aggregatibacter sRNA 69". Rfam says of the family: Validated by RT-PCR. The record is from Rfam by way of RNAcentral. Lineage: Bacteria; Pseudomonadati; Pseudomonadota; Gammaproteobacteria; Pasteurellales; Pasteurellaceae.
UAUUCAAGAGGGAUUCUGUUGCUAUUUUUUUUCAGGCGAACAAUAAUAGACCCUGAAUUAAGUUGAGUAAAUAUUUUUCUC